GAUGAACGCUGGCGGCGUGCUUAACACAUGCAAGUCGAACGGAGUUUACUUAACAGAUUUCUUCGGAAUGAUGUUUUUUAAACUUAGUGGCGGACGGGUGAGUAACGCGUGGGUAACCUGCCUUACACAGGGGGAUAGCAGUUGGAGACGACUGGUACUACCGCAUACCUUACAUUAUUCGCAUGUUUGAUGUAAGAAAGAUUUUAUCGGUGUAAGAUGGACCCGCGUCUGAUUAGCUAGUCGGUGUGGUAACGGCAUACCAAGGCGACGAUCAGUAGCCGGCCUGAGAGGGUGAACGGCCACAUUGGGACUGAGAUACGGCCCAGACUCCUACGGGAGGCAGCAGUGGGGAAUAUUGCACAAUGGAGGCAACUCUGAUGCAGCGACGCCGCGUGAGUGAAGAAGUAUUUCGGUAUGUAAAGCUCUAUCAGUAGGGAAGAUAAUGACGGUACCUACAGAAGAAGCCCCGGCUAAAUACGUGCCAGCAGCCGCAGUAA
Molecule: ribosomal RNA, 497 nt
Filed under: uncultured bacterium
Lineage: Bacteria
Description: partial 16S ribosomal RNA
Rfam family: Bacterial small subunit ribosomal RNA
Source: RNAcentral